GAUGAACGCUGGCGGCGUGCCUAAUACAUGCAAGUCGAGCGAACGGACGAGAAGCUUGCUUCUCUGAUGUUAGCGGCGGACGGGUGAGUAACACGUGGAUAACCUACCUAUAAGACUGGGAUAACUUCGGGAAACCGGAGCUAAUACCGGAUAAUAUUUUGAACCGCAUGGUUCAAAAGUGAAAGACGGUCUUGCUGUCACUUAUAGAUGGAUCCGCGCCGCAUUAGCUAGUUGGUAAGGUAACGGCUUACCAAGGCAACGAUGCAUAGCCGACCUGAGAGGGUGAUCGGCCACACUGGAACUGAGACACGGUCCAGACUCCUACGGGAGGCAGCAGUAGGGAAUCUUCCGCAAUGGGCGAAAGCCUGACGGAGCAACGCCGCGUGAGUGAUGAAGGUCUUCGGAUCGUAAAGCUCUGUUAUUAGGGAAGAACAUAUGUGUAAGUAACUGUGCACAUCUUGACGGUACCUAAUCAGAAAGCCACGGCUAACUACGUGCCAGCAGCCGCGGUAAUACGUAGGUGGCAAGCGUUAUCCGGAAUUAUUGGGCGUAAAGCGCGCGUAGGCGGUUUUUUAGUCUGAUGUGAAAGCCCACGGCUCAACCGUGGAGGGUCAUUGGAAACUGGAAAACUUGAGUGCAGAAGAGGAAAGUGGAAUUCCAUGUGUAGCGGUGAAAUGCGCAGAGAUAUGGAGGAACACCAGUGGCGAAGGCGACUUUCUGGUCUGUAACUGACGCUGAUGUGCGAAAGCGUGGGGAUCAAACAGGAUUAGAUACCCUGGUAGUCCACGCCGUAAACGAUGAGUGCUAAGUGUUAGGGGGUUUCCGCCCCUUAGUGCUGCAGCUAACGCAUUAAGCACUCCGCCUGGGGAGUACGACCGCAAGGUUGAAACUCAAAGGAAUUGACGGGGACCCGCACAAGCGGUGGAGCAUGUGGUUUAAUUCGAAGCAACGCGAAGAACCUUACCAAAUCUUGACAUCCUUUGACAACUCUAGAGAUAGAGCUUUCCCCUUCGGGGGACAAAGUGACAGGUGGUGCAUGGUUGUCGUCAGCUCGUGUCGUGAGAUGUUGGGUUAAGUCCCGCAACGAGCGCAACCCUUAAGCUUAGUUGCCAUCAUUAAGUUGGGCACUCUAAGUUGACUGCCGGUGACAAACCGGAGGAAGGUGGGGAUGACGUCAAAUCAUCAUGCCCCUUAUGAUUUGGGCUACACACGUGCUACAAUGGACAAUACAAAGGGCAGCGAAACCGCGAGGUCAAGCAAAUCCCAUAAAGUUGUUCUCAGUUCGGAUUGUAGUCUGCAACUCGACUACAUGAAGCUGGAAUCGCUAGUAAUCGUAGAUCAGCAUGCUACGGUGAAUACGUUCCCGGGUCU
This 1371-nucleotide ribosomal RNA is filed under the name uncultured bacterium. Its description in RNAcentral is "bacterial SSU rRNA". It matches the Rfam family "Bacterial small subunit ribosomal RNA", at positions 28 to 1381 of the family's 1533-position model. The record is from RNAcentral.